CAGCCGCCGCGGUAAUACGAGGGGGGCAAGCGUUGUUCGGAAUUAUUGGGCGUAAAGGGCGCGUAGGCGGUUUGGCAAGUUUGGUGUGAAAUCUUCGGGCUCAACUCGAAGUCUGCAUCGAAAACUGCCGGGCUUGAGUAUGGGAGAGGUGAGUGGAAUUUCCGGUGUAGCGGUGAAAUGCGUAGAUAUCGGAAGGAACACCUGUGGCGAAAGCGGCUCACUGGACCAUUACUGACGCUGAGGCGCGAAAGCUAGGGGAGCAAACAGGAUUAGAUACCCCGGUAGUCCCUGUCUCUUAUAU
Molecule: ribosomal RNA, 301 nt
Filed under: uncultured bacterium
Lineage: Bacteria
Description: partial 16S ribosomal RNA
Rfam family: Bacterial small subunit ribosomal RNA
Source: RNAcentral